GAUGUUCAUAUAUUUAGAUAAACAGUUAAAGAUUACAAAUUUUGAAAAAACACUAGCCAUGUGAUUAGAAGAGGCAAUUUCGGCCCAUUUGAUCGGGUCAACCCAUUAUAUAUUAUCUCUAAAGAUCAGGUUCAGAAAAAAGUUCGCUAAAAAAGAAAAAGAUCAUACGGGCCAAACAGAACGCAAGUUUCUCAAUGCGUAAGUACCUCCUAAAUCAAAACGUACCAGUAUAUGACCCAUUUUGACCCGUGACCGACUCACCUUAUGCAAGGAAACUUUAUUUGACUCUCUUUCCUAAUGUCACACUCCAUUCACAGAAGUGUAUUAUCCAAUUACUCUACUCUUAAUGGAGUAAUAACAGCAGAAAUAACGUCAAGAAAUUCAAACAAAACAGUGAAAACAACGAAUGCCAUUAACACCAAUAACUAUAAGUAGGGCUGACAAUUUUACACGAAUACACGACACGAACUUACACGAAGUUAACAGGUAUCGUGUACCAAACAGGUAGACACGAGAUUACCUGUUAAUUUUCGUGUAUAAACAGGUUAAAUACCUGUUUACCUGUUAAUACCCGUUAGUACACGAUAAGAAUUAAAUUAAGUAAAACUCAUCAGCCAUGUGCGUGUGGGUUCCUUAAUUCCUUUCUAUUUUCAUUCCUCAUUCAAUUCAAAAAAAAAAAAAAAAAAAAACCCUAAACUCCCUCUGUAACUUUCAGAUAACAUGUCGUAUUCGUGUUUUUGUUCGUGUUAACAGGUAUUAACAGGUAAUUUUCGUGUAUAACAGUCGAAUAGACGUGUUAACAGGUAUUAACAGGUAAAUUUCGUGUAUAUCGUGUCGUGUUCGUGUUCGUGUUGAAAAAAAGGACACGAUAAGUUAUCGUGUCGUGUUCGUGUAUGGGGUUUCGUGUAUCGUGUCUUAUCGUGUCGUGUCUUAUCGUCUUUGCUAUUUGUGGGAUUUACUGGGUACGGUUGUUGUUGUUGUUGUAA
Molecule: long non-coding RNA, 986 nt
Filed under: Helianthus annuus (common sunflower)
Lineage: Eukaryota; Viridiplantae; Streptophyta; Magnoliopsida; Asterales; Asteraceae
Description: hypothetical non coding rna
Source: RNAcentral